UGGGGGAUCGUCUAGUGGUAGGACUCAGGAUUCUGGAUCCUGCUACCGAGGUUCGAAUCCUUGUCCCCCAGCCA
Molecule: transfer RNA, 74 nt
Filed under: Deltaproteobacteria bacterium
Lineage: Bacteria; Pseudomonadati; Myxococcota; Myxococcia
Also listed under: 1 other name
Description: tRNA-Gln
Rfam family: tRNA
About the family: Transfer RNA (tRNA) molecules are approximately 80 nucleotides in length. Their secondary structure includes four short double-helical elements and three loops (D, anti-codon, and T loops). Further hydrogen bonds mediate the characteristic L-shaped molecular structure. tRNAs have two regions of fundamental functional importance: the anti-codon, which is responsible for specific mRNA codon recognition, and the 3' end, to which the tRNAs corresponding amino acid is attached (by aminoacyl-tRNA synthetases). tRNAs cope with the degeneracy of the genetic code in two manners: having more than one tRNA (with a specific anti-codon) for a particular amino acid; and 'wobble' base-pairing, i.e. permitting non-standard base-pairing at the 3rd anti-codon position.
Source: RNAcentral